Molecule: ribosomal RNA, 503 nt
Filed under: uncultured bacterium
Lineage: Bacteria
Description: bacterial SSU rRNA
Rfam family: Bacterial small subunit ribosomal RNA
Source: RNAcentral
GAUCAUGGCUCAGGAUGAACGCUAGCUACAGGCUUAACACAUGCAAGUCGAGGGGCAGCAUGAACUUAGCUUGCUAAGUUGAUGGCGACCGGCGCACGGGUGAGUAACACGUAUCCAACCUGCCGAUGACUCGGGGAUAGCCUUUCGAAAGAAAGAUUAAUACCCGAUGGCAUAAUUCUUCCGCAUGGUAGAACUAUUAAAGGAAUUUCGGUCAUCGAUGGGGAUGCGUUCCAUUAGGUUGUUGGCGGGGUAACGGCCCACCAAGCCUUCGAUGGAUAGGGGUUCUGAGAGGAAGGUCCCCCACAUUGGAACUGAGACACGGUCCAAACUCCUACGGGAGGCAGCAGUGAGGAAUAUUGGUCAAUGGACGAGAGUCUGAACCAGCCAAGUAGCGUGAAGGAUGACUGCCCUAUGGGUUGUAAACUUCUUUUAUACGGGAAAUAAAGUGAGGCACGUGUGCCUUUUUGUAUGUACCGUAUGAAUAAGGAUCGGCUAACUCCGUG